Molecule: ribosomal RNA, 376 nt
Filed under: Oxyrrhis marina
Lineage: Eukaryota; Dinophyceae; Oxyrrhinales; Oxyrrhinaceae
Description: partial Bacterial small subunit ribosomal RNA
Rfam family: Bacterial small subunit ribosomal RNA
Source: RNAcentral
GUUUGAUCCUGGCUCAGAAUGAACGCUGGCGGCGUGGUUCAGACAUGCAAGUCGAACGGGAUCGUUCAAGUAGCUUGCUAUUUGAACGUGAGAGUGGCGAACGGGUGCGUAACACGUAAAGAACCUACCCUUAUAUGGGGGAUAGCUCAUCGAAAGGUGAAUUAAUACCGCAUGUGAUUUUUCUCUGCAUGGAGAAGGAAUUAAAGCCGGGGACCUUCGGGCCUGGCGUAUAAGGAGGGCUUUGCGGCCUAUCAGCUUGUUGGUGAGGUAACGGCUCACCAAGGCGACGAUGCGUAGCCGACCUGAGAGGGUGAUCGGCCACACUGGGACUGAGACACGGCCCAGACUCCUACGGGAGGCAGCAGUGGGGAAUAUU